AGCGAACGCUGGCGGCAGGCUUAACACAUGCAAGUCGAGCGGGCACCUUCGGGUGUCAGCGGCAGACGGGUGGGUAACACGUGGGAACGUACCCUUCGGUUCGGAAUAACGCUGGGAAACUAGCGCUAAUACCGGAUACGCCCUUAUGGGGAAAGGUUUACUGCCGAAGGAUCGGCCCGCGUCUGAUUAGCUAGUUGGUGGGGUAACGGCCUACCAAGGCGACGAUCAGUAGCUGGUCUGAGAGGAUGAUCAGCCACACUGGGACUGAGACACGGCCCAGACUCCUACGGGAGGCAGCAGUGGGGAAUAUUGGACAAUGGGCGCAAGCCUGAUCCAGCCAUGCCGCGUGAGUGAUGAAGGCCUUAGGGUUGUAAAGCUCUUUUGUCCGGGACGAUAAUGACGGUACCGGAAGAAUAAGCCCCGGCUAACUUCGUG
Molecule: ribosomal RNA, 435 nt
Filed under: uncultured bacterium
Lineage: Bacteria
Description: partial 16S ribosomal RNA
Rfam family: Bacterial small subunit ribosomal RNA
Source: RNAcentral